UGAAUACAUAAAUGUUUCAAUACAUAAGUAUUAACUUAGAGUACAAAAGACAUGGAUAGAAACUAUCCAAGAGUCAAUCAGUCAACAUUACAUUACAUGGCCCACAAGAUAGAUCCUAGACAAAAACUAAAGAAAGGACAUACUACACUGGAUCUAAUAGAUAUCAUGGCUGGAUGGAUCGAAGUCUGAUGAAUCAGAGAUUGGGUGAGGAGAUGAAGGAUCAUGUCCAUGAGCUCGACCUCGAUCG
This 247-nucleotide long non-coding RNA is filed under the name Elaeis guineensis (African oil palm). Its description in RNAcentral is "long non-coding RNA (EGUI_LNC054576)". Lineage: Eukaryota; Viridiplantae; Streptophyta; Magnoliopsida; Arecales; Arecaceae. The record is from RNAcentral.